This 80-nucleotide small RNA is filed under the name Flavobacterium xueshanense. Its description in RNAcentral is "Flavo-1 RNA". It matches the Rfam family "Flavo-1 RNA". The record is from RNAcentral. Lineage: Bacteria; Pseudomonadati; Bacteroidota; Flavobacteriia; Flavobacteriales; Flavobacteriaceae.
CUCUAGCCCAGAUAGCAGUGGAAAUCCUUUUUUUAGGCUUUUCGCCUCAAAAAAGAUUGUAACGAAUAGCUGGAAAUAGC